UGUAAGCGUAUACCAAAGUUGUUGCAGUUAAAACGCUAGUAGUCGGAAUUUGGCAGUUCCGGAAGUGUGCACGUCGUGUGCGCACUUUGCGGGGACUGCUUUUGUGGUCUUGCGUAGGAUGAGGCACUUUCAUUAGUGAACGUCCUCACGCAACCACUCUUUACUGUGAGAAAAUCAGAGUGCUCAAAGCAGGCAUUUGCCGUGAAUGUAUUAGCAUGGAAUAAUAGAAUAGGACUCGGUUCUAUUUUGUUGGUUUGUUGGGACUGAGUAAUGAUUAAGAGGGACAGUUGGGGGCAUUUGUAUUCCGGCGCUAGAGGUGAAAUUCUUAGAUUGCCGGAAGACAAACUGCUGCGAAAGCGUCUGCCAAGGAUGUUUUCAUUGA
This 382-nucleotide ribosomal RNA is filed under the name uncultured eukaryote. RNAcentral describes it as "partial 18S ribosomal RNA". It matches the Rfam family "Eukaryotic small subunit ribosomal RNA", at positions 592 to 976 of the family's 1831-position model. The record is from RNAcentral.